Molecule: ribosomal RNA, 1456 nt
Filed under: Streptococcus salivarius
Lineage: Bacteria; Bacillati; Bacillota; Bacilli; Lactobacillales; Streptococcaceae
Description: bacterial SSU rRNA
Rfam family: Bacterial small subunit ribosomal RNA
Source: RNAcentral
CGUGGGGGGGGGUGCCUAUACAUGCAAGUAGAACGCUGAAGAGAGGAGCUUGCUCUUCUUGGAUGAGUUGCGAACGGGUGAGUAACGCGUAGGUAACCUGCCUUGUAGCGGGGGAUAACUAUUGGAAACGAUAGCUAAUACCGCAUAACAAUGGAUGACACAUGUCAUUUAUUUGAAAGGGGCAAUUGCUCCACUACAAGAUGGACCUGCGUUGUAUUAGCUAGUAGGUGAGGUAACGGCUCACCUAGGCGACGAUACAUAGCCGACCUGAGAGGGUGAUCGGCCACACUGGGACUGAGACACGGCCCAGACUCCUACGGGAGGCAGCAGUAGGGAAUCUUCGGCAAUGGGGGCAACCCUGACCGAGCAACGCCGCGUGAGUGAAGAAGGUUUUCGGAUCGUAAAGCUCUGUUGUAAGUCAAGAACGAGUGUGAGAGUGGAAAGUUCACACUGUGACGGUAGCUUACCAGAAAGGGACGGCUAACUACGUGCCAGCAGCCGCGGUAAUACGUAGGUCCCGAGCGUUGUCCGGAUUUAUUGGGCGUAAAGCGAGCGCAGGCGGUUUGAUAAGUCUGAAGUUAAAGGCUGUGGCUCAACCAUAGUUCGCUUUGGAAACUGUCAAACUUGAGUGCAGAAGGGGAGAGUGGAAUUCCAUGUGUAGCGGUGAAAUGCGUAGAUAUAUGGAGGAACACCGGUGGCGAAAGCGGCUCUCUGGUCUGUAACUGACGCUGAGGCUCGAAAGCGUGGGGAGCGAACAGGAUUAGAUACCCUGGUAGUCCACGCCGUAAACGAUGAGUGCUAGGUGUUGGAUCCUUUCCGGGAUUCAGUGCCGCAGCUAACGCAUUAAGCACUCCGCCUGGGGAGUACGACCGCAAGGUUGAAACUCAAAGGAAUUGACGGGGGCCCGCACAAGCGGUGGAGCAUGUGGUUUAAUUCGAAGCAACGCGAAGAACCUUACCAGGUCUUGACAUCCCGAUGCUAUUUCUAGAGAUAGAAAGUUACUUCGGUACAUCGGUGACAGGUGGUGCAUGGUUGUCGUCAGCUCGUGUCGUGAGAUGUUGGGUUAAGUCCCGCAACGAGCGCAACCCCUAUUGUUAGUUGCCAUCAUUCAGUUGGGCACUCUAGCGAGACUGCCGGUAAUAAACCGGAGGAAGGUGGGGAUGACGUCAAAUCAUCAUGCCCCUUAUGACCUGGGCUACACACGUGCUACAAUGGUUGGUACAACGAGUUGCGAGUCGGUGACGGCAAGCUAAUCUCUUAAAGCCAAUCUCAGUUCGGAUUGUAGGCUGCAACUCGCCUACAUGAAGUCGGAAUCGCUAGUAAUCGCGGAUCAGCACGCCGCGGUGAAUACGUUCCCGGGCCUUGUACACACCGCCCGUCACACCACGAGAGUUUGUAACACCCGAAGUCGGUGAGGUAACCUUUUGGAGCCAGCCGCCUAAGGUGGAAUGGGGGA